This 253-nucleotide ribosomal RNA is filed under the name Faecalibacterium prausnitzii. RNAcentral describes it as "partial 16S ribosomal RNA". It matches the Rfam family "Bacterial small subunit ribosomal RNA", at positions 524 to 776 of the family's 1533-position model. The record is from RNAcentral. Lineage: Bacteria; Bacillati; Bacillota; Clostridia; Eubacteriales; Oscillospiraceae.
AACGUAGGUCACAAGCGUUGUCCGGAAUUACUGGGUGUAAAGGGAGCGCAGGUGGGAAGACAAGUUGGAAGUGAAAUCUAUGGGCUCAACCCAUAAACUGCUUUCAAAACUGUUUUUCUUGAGUAGUGCAGAGGUAGGCGGAAUUCCCGGUGUAGCGGUGGAAUGCGUAGAUAUCGGGAGGAACACCAGUGGCGAAGGCGGCCUACUGGGCACCAACUGACGCUGAGGCUCGAAAGUGUGGGUAGCAAACAGG